This is a non-coding RNA of Drosophila melanogaster (fruit fly), 77 nucleotides long. Lineage: Eukaryota; Metazoa; Arthropoda; Insecta; Diptera; Drosophilidae. The record is from Ensembl.
GCAGCAGCAGCAGGUGCCCCAGAUGCGCAUUCAGCGUUUGAUCCUGCAGCCCCUGCCUGAGCAGCCCCGUGACACCA